CCGUGCUAAGAGGGGAGCUGGUGGUUCCCUGAACCCGAAAUCCACCAUAUGCGGGUCUGAACUCCUUGACGAGGUUCACCUGUUUUUUGGGAGUGGGCUGGAGGGGUGUUGAGGUUCCAGGUCCAGUGCGGCAGAGGGUUCCCCAACCCCGCCAGGUCCGGAAGGAAGCAACGGUAAGGAAUACCUCUGGGUGUUGCUGGGGUGCCUGGGCUGAGCCCCAAAGGUACCUUCCCAAUAAAUAAGGGAAUCGACUCAAGGUGCACGG
This 265-nucleotide signal recognition particle RNA is filed under the name bacterium. Its description in RNAcentral is "signal recognition particle sRNA large type". It matches the Rfam family "Bacterial large signal recognition particle RNA". From Rfam's summary of the family: The signal recognition particle (SRP) is a universally conserved ribonucleoprotein involved in the co-translational targeting of proteins to membranes. Archaeal SRP consists of a 7S RNA and homologues of the eukaryotic SRP19 and SRP54 proteins. The record is from RNAcentral.